RNAcentral lists this ribosomal RNA (939 nucleotides) under Bacillus stratosphericus. Its description in RNAcentral is "bacterial SSU rRNA". It matches the Rfam family "Bacterial small subunit ribosomal RNA", at positions 37 to 967 of the family's 1533-position model. Lineage: Bacteria; Bacillati; Bacillota; Bacilli; Caryophanales; Bacillaceae. The record is from RNAcentral.
UGGGGGGGGGCCCUAAAAACAUGCAAGUCGAGCGGACAGAAGGGAGCUUGCUCCCGGAUGUUAGCGGCGGACGGGUGAGUAACACGUGGGUAACCUGCCUGUAAAACUGGGAUAACUCCGGGAAACCGGAGCUAAUACCGGAUAGUUCCUUGAACCGCAUGGUUCAAGGAUGAAAGACGGUUUCGGCUGUCACUUACAGAUGGACCCGCGGCGCAUUAGCUAGUUGGUGAGGUAACGGCUCACCAAGGCGACGAUGCGUAGCCGACCUGAGAGGGUGAUCGGCCACACUGGGACUGAAACACGGCCCAAACUCCUACGGGAGGCAGCAGUAGGGAAUCUUCCGCAAUGGACAAAAGUCUGACGGAGCAACGCCGCGUGAGUGAUGAAGGUUUUCGGAUCGUAAAGCUCUGUUGUUAGGGAAAAACAAGUGCAAAAGUAACUGCUUGCACCUUGACGGUACCUAACCAAAAAGCCACGGCUAACUACGUGCCAGCAGCCGCGGUAAUACGUAGGUGGCAAGCGUUGUCCGGAAUUAUUGGGCGUAAAGGGCUCGCAGGCGGUUUCUUAAGUCUGAUGUGAAAGCCCCCGGCUCAACCGGGGAGGGUCAUUGGAAACUGGGAAACUUGAGUGCAGAAGAGGAGAGUGGAAUUCCACGUGUAGCGGUGAAAUGCGUAGAGAUGUGGAGGAACACCAGUGGCGAAGGCGACUCUCUGGUCUGUAACUGACGCUGAGGAGCGAAAGCGUGGGGAGCGAACAGGAUUAGAUACCCUGGUAGUCCACGCCGUAACGAUGAGUGCUAGUGUAGGGGUUCCGCCCCUUAGUGCUGCAGCUACGCAUAGCACUCCGGCUGGGGGAGUACGGUCGCAGACUGGAACUUCAAGGAUUGACGAGUCAGCAAGCGUGGAGCAUGUGAUUUAACUUCGGAGGCAACGGCGAGAC